GUACUUACUUGGCAGGGAGGUACCAUGAUCAUGAAGGUUUUCCCACUGCGAGGCUUAUCCACUGCACCCUGGAUGUGCUGACCCCUGCGAUUUCCCCAAAAUGUGGGAAAUUCAGCUGCAUAAUUUGUGGUAAUGGGGGACUGCAUUCCCGCUCUCCCCUG
This is a small nuclear RNA of Talpa occidentalis (Iberian mole), 161 nucleotides long. RefSeq annotates it as U1 spliceosomal RNA. NCBI's taxonomy places the organism in Eukaryota, Metazoa, Chordata, Mammalia, Eulipotyphla, Talpidae. The record is from RefSeq and is a predicted model, not a curated record. The transcript has a single exon.